This 171-nucleotide unclassified non-coding RNA is filed under the name uncultured Hyaloscyphaceae. RNAcentral's name for it is "sequence contains ITS1". Lineage: Eukaryota; Fungi; Ascomycota; Leotiomycetes; Helotiales. The record is from RNAcentral.
CCGAGUUUCGUGCCCGUACGGGUAGAUCUCCCACCCUAUGUUAUUAUUACCUUGUUGCUUUGGCGGGCCGCCAGGCUCCGGUCAGGCUAUCGGCUUCGGCUGGUAAGCCGCCCGCCAGAGGACCCAAUAUUCCUGAUUAUCAGUGUCGUCUGAGUACUAUGAUAAUAGUUA